AUUAUUGCAACAAUAUGUUAUUAAUAAUUUGACUGACGUUUCCUCUGGAAAAAACAGAAAGUAAAUGUCAAUAAUAUUUACCCAUGUGAAUACUCUUAGAACAGCUGCUCAUUUAAUUACUACUUCGGAUGUAGAAGUCUUCUCUCUCCCUUAGCAAAUACAAUUUAUUCAACCAGGAAUGGAGCUCCUCUUUCACCUGAAACAACAUAAAAGGUCUCAGACAUGGGAAAAACUCUCAAGCAUUUUUCAGCUUUUUCAGGAUGCAGCAUCAGAUUCAUAGAAUGAUAGAAUGGUUUGGAUUGGAAGGGACCUUUAAGAUCAUCUAGUUCCAACGCCCCUGUUAUGGGCAGGGACACCUCCCUCUAGACCAGGUUGCUCAAAGCCCCAUCCAGCCUGGCCUUGAAUGCUUCCAGGGAGGGUGCGUCCACAACCUCACUGGGCAACCUGUUCCAGUGUCUCACCACCCUCACAGGUAAGAAUUUCUUCCUAAUAUCUAGUCUAAAUCUACCCUCUUCCAGUUUAAAGUGAUUUCCCCUCAUCCUGUCACUACCUGCCUUUAGCAAAAGGUAAGUCAGAUCUAGGCCUUGAAUCAAAGAUUUCCUCACCUCUUCAUUAGUACAGCACCCAAGGGAAUUCAGACCUGAUCCCUUCCUGGCAAUAUCCACUGCUGAAGACAAUACAAAUCAUGGUUGAGAAUUCAGUAAUUCAUAAUGACACAGCUGCAUUAAGACAUCUAUAGUGUAGAUAUGUCCAUCUGAGUUGGUCUACUUUGACUCCCAUUGUAGCCAGUAUGGAUAAAUAAGUAAUUCAGGGCAUAAAUUUGUCUUGAUACCAGACUGGAAAGAGUCAAUUUUCUUCAUACAGACUCCUGUGAUUGUCUGGGAUUUUUGAUGAAAAGCUGUGCUGAUAACACACCAGUGUUUUAGUUGUUGCUGAGCAGUGCUGCACAGAGCCAAGGAUGUUUCAGCUCCUCACACUGCCCUGCAAGAGAGGGCAUGUGGGUGCACAAGGAGCUGAGAGGGGACAGAACCAGGAUGGCUGACCCAGACUGACCAAAGGGAUGUUCCAUUCUAUAUGGCAUCAUGCUUGGCAAUAAAAGCUGGGGAAAAGAAGGAGGAAGGUAGGAU
This 1127-nucleotide long non-coding RNA is filed under the name Numida meleagris (helmeted guineafowl). Its description in RNAcentral is "lncRNA (ENSNMEG00000009592.1)". Lineage: Eukaryota; Metazoa; Chordata; Aves; Galliformes; Numididae. The record is from RNAcentral.